RNAcentral lists this ribosomal RNA (254 nucleotides) under uncultured microorganism. RNAcentral describes it as "partial 16S ribosomal RNA". It matches the Rfam family "Archaeal small subunit ribosomal RNA", at positions 474 to 727 of the family's 1478-position model. The record is from RNAcentral.
CACCGGCGGCUCGAGUGGUGGCCACUUUUAUUGGGUCUAAAGCGUCCGUAGCCGGCUUGGCAAGUCCCCUGGGAAAUCUGGCGGCUUAACCGUCAGGCGUCCAGAGGAUACUGCCAGGCUUGGGACCGGGAGAGGUGAGAGGUACCUCAGGGGUAGGGGUGAAAUCUUGUGAUCCCUGAGGGACCACCAGUGGCGAAGGCGUCUCACUAGAACGGGUCCGACGGUCAGGGACGAAAGCCAGGGGCGCGAACCGG